RNAcentral lists this transfer RNA (96 nucleotides) under Rodentibacter pneumotropicus. RNAcentral's name for it is "tRNA-seC(tca)". It matches the Rfam family "Selenocysteine transfer RNA". The record is from RNAcentral. Lineage: Bacteria; Pseudomonadati; Pseudomonadota; Gammaproteobacteria; Pasteurellales; Pasteurellaceae.
UGGAAGGUCGUCAUCUCCGGUGAGGUGGCAGGACUUCAAAUCCUGUUGAGGACGCCAGCGUUCUCGGGUGGGUUCGACUCCCAUGACUUUCCGCCA